GUCUGGUUGUUAUUCUACUGGCUGUAAUUGUAAUGAACCAAACACGUUAAGUUGCUUAAAGAUUAUUUUUAAUUUACGUUUUUCGUUGCUU
This is a long non-coding RNA of Melitaea cinxia (Glanville fritillary), 91 nucleotides long. RefSeq lists it as uncharacterized. The transcript has 4 exons. Lineage: Eukaryota; Metazoa; Arthropoda; Insecta; Lepidoptera; Nymphalidae. The record is from RefSeq and is a predicted model, not a curated record.